AACGAACGCUGGCGGCAUGCCUAACACAUGCAAGUCGAACGAGACCUUCGGGUCUAGUGGCGCACGGGUGCGUAACGCGUGGGAACCUGCCCUUAGGUUCGGAAUAACUCCCCGAAAGGGGUGCUAAUACCGGAUAAUGUCUUCGGACCAAAGAUUUAUCGCCUUUGGAUGGGCCCGCGUUGGAUUACCUAGUUGGUAGGGUAAAAGCCUACCAAGGCGACGAUCCAUAGCUGGGCUGAGAGAAUGAUCAGCCACACUGUGACUGAGACACGGCGCAGACUCUUACAGGAUGCAGCAGUGGCGGAUAUUGGAACACGGGCGGUGGGAUGAAGGAGCACUGCUGGGAGAGUGAUGAAGGCCUUAGGGUUGUACAGCUCUUUUACACGGGAUGAUAAUGACAGUACCGGGAGAAUAAGCUCCGGCUAACUACGUG
RNAcentral lists this ribosomal RNA (433 nucleotides) under uncultured bacterium. RNAcentral describes it as "partial 16S ribosomal RNA". It matches the Rfam family "Bacterial small subunit ribosomal RNA", at positions 29 to 507 of the family's 1533-position model. The record is from RNAcentral.